AGUUUAGUUAUAAGGUUCACAUGCGUAGUUCAGGUGAAUAAAUGAACUGAUGAAAAUAUGUAAGUAUAGAAAACAGAGGAAGCAUGAAUCUAGUUACUGAUAGAGGAAUAGAGUGUGGAAAUCUUAGAAAGAUUAUUAAUAGUAGAUGAGACAAGAAGAAAGUUACUCGUAAAAUUUGACCUGAAGGAUUAUUUCGAGCAAAAUCCCAUCAUUUAUUUGGGCAAUUUGUAGGAGUAUAUGUAUGCCAUCUAAUUGGGAAUUCUAAGGAAGAAUAUCUCUAAGUUCAUUCAGCUGCAAAGAUUUGAGAAGUUCUCAUUGAACCAAUGUAUGCAUAAAUUGAAAACAUCAAAAUUUGCUUUCUAUCGAACAAGCCUUGUCAAUUCACCAAUGAUGUGACAAAUUAUUAAAAAAGAACACUGUGGGAAUAUGCAUAACAAUGCAAUGAACUUGAUGCCACAAAUAUUAAUAACUAUAAAAUUUUAUAUUUUUUAGUUUUUAUUUUUGAUAGUGUACUUUAGCCAUUAGUUCAAGUCAAUUUUUACGAUAAAAGAAGUAAGCAUGAGAAAUAGGAGGUAUUUUAUUAUCAGAAGCUCAAUCAUACUAUAUGAGUUCAAAUCAUCUAAGUGAAGCCCUUCUUUAACAUUCUCACUAAAUUGUCUUUUCAACAAAACUAAAAAGAAAAAUACAAACUCCACAAUUUCGAGACUAAAUGUAUAAUAGCCUUCAUAAUUAGUAAUACAAAUGCAAUGACCACAAACAGUUUCAAAAUGCAAUGUGA
This 778-nucleotide long non-coding RNA is filed under the name Olea europaea subsp. europaea. The record is from RNAcentral. Lineage: Eukaryota; Viridiplantae; Streptophyta; Magnoliopsida; Lamiales; Oleaceae.